RNAcentral lists this ribosomal RNA (787 nucleotides) under uncultured bacterium. Its description in RNAcentral is "bacterial SSU rRNA". It matches the Rfam family "Bacterial small subunit ribosomal RNA", at positions 8 to 796 of the family's 1533-position model. The record is from RNAcentral.
AGAGUUUGAUCCUGGCUCAGGACGAACGCUGGCGGCGUGCUUAACACAUGCAAGUCGAGCGGUAAGGCCCUUUCGGGGGUACACGAGCGGCGAACGGGUGAGUAACACGUGAGUAAUCUGCCCUUCACUUCGGGAUAACCUCCGGAAACGGUGGCUAAUACCGGAUAUGACCUGUCCCUGCAUGGGGGUGGGUGGAAAGUUCUGGCGGUGGAGGAUGUGCUCGCGGCCUAUCAGCUUGAUGGUGGGGUAAUGGCCUACCAUGGCUUCGACGGGUAGCCGGCCUGAGAGGGUGACCGGCCACACUGGGACUGAGACACGGCCCAGACUCCUACGGGAGGCAGCAGUGGGGAAUAUUGGACAAUGGGCGAAAGCCUGAUCCAGCAACGCCGCGUGAGGGAUGACGGCCUUCGGGUUGUAAACCUCUUUCAGUAUCGACGAAGCUGUGCCUUUUUGGGUGUGGUGACGGUAGGUACAGAAGAAGCACCGGCCAACUACGUGCCAGCAGCCGCGGUAAUACGUAGGGUGCGAGCGUUGUCCGGAAUUAUUGGGCGUAAAGGGCUCGUAGGCGGUUUGUCGCGUCGGGAGUGAAAACACUGGGCUUAACUCAGUGCUUGCUUCCGAUACGGGCAGACUAGAGGUAUGCAGGGGAGAACGGAAUUCCUGGUGUAGCGGUGAAAUGCGCAGAUAUCAGGAGGAACACCGGUGGCGAAGGCGGUUCUCUGGGCAUUACCUGACGCUGAGGAGCGAAAGUGUGGGGAGCGAACAGGAUUAGAUACCCUAGUAGUCC